GAUUGUUUUAUCGGGUAGCGAUGAACUUCCAGUUAAAGAGCCAUUUGGGAUUGAAUCCGAGCUCAGAACCCAACCAAAAUUGAUAUAUGACAUUCUUGGGAUGUCUUAAGGUUAAAAUGGUCAUUUAUCCCCAAGAAUUACGUGGCUUCAUAAGGUAAAUUGCAUACAUAGUAAAACCUGGCCAGCUGAAAUUACAGCUCAGACCUAUCCUCAAAGAAAGCUGCUUAGCAGCUACUUAAGUGUCUAUCUCUCAAAGAACUUUUUAUGCAUGAAAGCCAACACCUUAGGCUAACACCUCAAGCAAGAAUCACCCAAAAACUCCAAGAAACCAACCUUGCCCAGAAGAGGUUUCCCUCCCCUGGGGGUACCGCCAGAACAGACUAUAAAAGCCUGUUCUGGAUUUUCGUCUCUUUUCUCUUAUUUCUUCCUCUUGGACACCCACUUUUCUUUACAUAUAACUCUUCUAAAUAUCCAUACAAAGUAGUUCAAGCUUUGGUUCCAAUCUUUAGACCUUAAAAUCAUAUAGAAAACCUUGCUGAAAGAUCACAUAAGUUGUUGGGAAGCUGUAGGAGUAGUUAACCAAGUGGAUUAAGGAAUUUCGUGGCUUUAAGCAUCCUUAGUUAAGAGUCAAACAUCGUUGCAGGUUUGGUGUUGUGAGCUCAGGAUUCUGAAGUGAAGCAAGAUAAAGAUGCCGUCGUAGCUUAUGGAUUGAGUUUGUAUUUUAGAUAGUCAAUUAAGGAAUAGUUUCUGAUAUAUUUCGUUGUAUACAAUAUUUGGGAAUAUUAGUCGAGAUAUCAGUGUAAUUGAAGUCUUAUAUAAAGGAUUUUGUUUUGUGGGCCAAUAACCCACAAG
Long non-coding RNA from Beta vulgaris subsp. vulgaris (sugar beet), 852 nucleotides. RefSeq lists it as uncharacterized. NCBI's taxonomy places the organism in Eukaryota, Viridiplantae, Streptophyta, Magnoliopsida, Caryophyllales, Amaranthaceae. The transcript is spliced from 3 exons. The record is from RefSeq and is a predicted model, not a curated record.